AUGCGAAGAGAUCGCAAGCCAAUCCGAGUGGUGGGGCCGAGGGUCCGGGCCGAGCUGUGGCCAGCCCUGAUUCCUGCUGUCACGGUACUUGCCGGGGCCCCUCGACCCAGCUCCCUGACAGCUCCUCCUGCUGUCAGUGCCGGCGCACAAAGUCCCCACCGCUGCAUGCCUAGGGAGCCUGGUGGCCUCUCAGCCGGCCACCGAUGGCCUCGGUGGCUGGCGUGGCCUCGGGGCCCUCCCGGGGGAUUGAUCUUAGGUGAGCUACCAAAUCACAUUCCUUCUGUGACACCCGCUCCUAAGUCUGCUUAGCCCGCCCUCCCACAAGGGGGUUCUCAUACAUGGAGUUUCCUCCCGGGUCCCGCCCAGCCUCCUUGCGUCUAGUGCGUCCUCCGUGCCAUAUGCAUCACAAUCCUAGACGGGUGAGGUCCCCCUGCUUCUCGCAAGCUUUGACCCAUCACUGUGUUCGCGUCCCACCGGGGAGAAUCAGUCACUCAGCUCAGCCGGUUAGGCUGUGUGCUGAGACUCGCGGUCGGGCCUGGCAGGCCAGAUGCUCCGGACAUCGCUGCUCACUAGAGAAGGGAGAACAUGAAUCUGGUGGGCAGCCAGCCGCCACGGCUUUGCAUCCUUGAAACCCCUUGCCCCUGCCCCUGAUUUUGCACCUUGCACUGGGUUCUGGAUUUUACUUCCUAAAUAGCUCUUGAAUUGGUCACCUCUUCUCCUCCAGCACCAACUCUUACCUGUGCUAUUAUGAUGUUUCUAGAACAGUCUCUCCUCCUCUCUUUGUAUUCUCUUCGGGCUGCAGCUAGAGGAUCUUUCUAGAACACAAAAUGGGCUUAUCCUCUCCUGCUUCUCAUCACCCUCUGGGUAGAGACCAAACUCAAACCUACACAGCAUGGCCCCUCUCUGACCUCAGCAUCACCCCAUCCCCACCACACGUGGCCUUCUUUCAACCCUCAUCCCCGUGCGCCACCCCCGCCGGGGCUCCACACCCUUCCUUCCCUCUGGGAUGACCUUCACGGCCGACUCUCCUUCAUCCUUCAGAUCCCGAGCCGAAGCCAAGCCUCGCGGACCUCUCCUCCCAGGUAAAUCCGCUGUUACACACUCCGGUAGCCCCACGAAGCUCUCCCCACGCCAUUCGCACUCCUGCAUUUCUUUGUUUAAUGGCUUGAUGGAUGUCUGUCUAGAGUAUGAACUUGAAUAAGGGCAGGAGUCCCUUUAUUUUUGCAGCGACUGUCACAGUGGAAGUUUCAUGGGUAUUUGGGGAAGAGACAGAAGAGACAGUGAGAAGAGAAGGCAGAAGCGAGUGGUG
Molecule: long non-coding RNA, 1309 nt
Filed under: Felis catus (domestic cat)
Lineage: Eukaryota; Metazoa; Chordata; Mammalia; Carnivora; Felidae
Description: lncRNA (ENSFCAG00000044941.2)
Source: RNAcentral